AUGAACGCUAGCUACAGGCUUAACACAUGCAAGUCGAGGGGCAGCAUGAAUCAAGCUGCUUGAUUGAUGGCGACCGGCGCACGGGUGCGUAACACGUAUCCAAUCUACCCAUGGCUCAGGGAUAGCCUUUCGAAAGAAAGAUUAAUACCUGAUGGUUUCAUGAGCCCGCAUGGACUUAUGAAUAAAGAUUUAUCGGCGAUGGAUGAGGAUGCGUCCGAUUAGAUAGUAGGCGGGGUAACGGCCCACCUAGUCGACGAUCGGUAGGGGCUCUGAGAGGAGGAUCCCCCACAUUGGAACUGAGACACGGUCCAAACUCCUACGGGAGGCAGCAGUGAGGAAUAUUGGUCAAUGGGCGAGAGCCUGAACCAGCCAAGUAGCGGUAGAGGGAUGACUGCCCUAUGGGUUGUAAACCUCUUUUGUUUGGGAAUAAAGUGAGCCACGUGUGGCUUUUUGUAUGUACCUUACGAAUAAGCAUCGGCUAAUUCCGUGCCAGCAGCGGC
This 500-nucleotide ribosomal RNA is filed under the name uncultured bacterium. RNAcentral's name for it is "bacterial SSU rRNA". It matches the Rfam family "Bacterial small subunit ribosomal RNA", at positions 29 to 518 of the family's 1533-position model. The record is from RNAcentral.